GGCUCAGGAUGAACGCUAGCUACAGGCUUAACACAUGCAAGUCGAGGGGCAGCAUGUCGGUUGCUUGCAACCGACGAUGGCGACCGGCGCACGGGUGAGUAACGCGUAUCCAACCUACCCUUGUCCAUCGGAUAACCCGUCGAAAGGCGGCCUAACACGAUAUGCGGUUCUCAGCAGGCAUCUAACGAGAACGAAAUGUGAAGGAGAAGGAUGGGGAUGCGUCUGAUUAGCUGUUGGCGGGGUAACGGCCCACCAAGGCGACGAUCAGUAGGGGUUCUGAGAGGAAGGUCCCCCACAUUGGAACUGAGACACGGUCCAAACUCCUACGGGAGGCAGCAGUGAGGAAUAUUGGUCAAUGGACGGGAGUCUGAACCAGCCAAGUAGCGUGCAGGAUGACGGCCCUAUGGGUUGUAAACUGCUUUUAUAGGGGGAUAAAGUGUGCCACGUGUGGCAUAUUGCAGGUACCCUAUGAAUAAGGACCGGCUAAUUCCGUG
This 494-nucleotide ribosomal RNA is filed under the name uncultured bacterium. RNAcentral describes it as "bacterial SSU rRNA". It matches the Rfam family "Bacterial small subunit ribosomal RNA", at positions 21 to 507 of the family's 1533-position model. The record is from RNAcentral.